AGAGGGUGCGAGCGUUAAUCGGAAUUACUGGGCGUAAAGAGCGCGUAGGUGGUUUCGUGGGUUGUGUGUGAAAAGCCUGGGCUUAACCUGGGUCUGUCAUGCAAAACUGCGAGACUAGAGUACGGUAGAGGAUAGUGGAAUUUCCAGUGUAGCAGUGAAAUGCGUAGAUAUUGGAAGGAACACCAGUGGCGAAGGCGACUAUCUGGACUGAUACUGACACUGAGGUGCGAAAGCGUGGGGGAGCGAACAGGAUUAGAUACCCUGGUAGUCCACGCCGUAAACGAUGACAACUAGCCCGUUGGAACUAUAUAAAGUUUUAGUGGCGCAGCAAACGCGAUAAGUUGUCCGCCUGGGAGUACGGCCGCAAGGUUA
Molecule: ribosomal RNA, 372 nt
Filed under: uncultured organism
Description: partial 16S ribosomal RNA
Rfam family: Bacterial small subunit ribosomal RNA
Source: RNAcentral